RNAcentral lists this ribosomal RNA (447 nucleotides) under uncultured bacterium. Its description in RNAcentral is "bacterial SSU rRNA". It matches the Rfam family "Bacterial small subunit ribosomal RNA", at positions 355 to 825 of the family's 1533-position model. The record is from RNAcentral.
UGGGGAAUCUUGGACAAUGGGCGCAAGCCUGAUCCAGCCAUGCCGCGUGAGUGACGAAGGUCUUCGGAUUGUAAAGCUCUUUUGGCGGGGACGAUAAUGACGGUACCCGCAGAAUAAGCCCCGGCUAACUUCGUGCCAGCAGCCGCGGUAAUACGAAGGGGGCUAGCGUUGUUCGGAAUUACUGGGCGUAAAGCGCACGUAGGCGGAUCUAUAAGUCAGGGGCGAAAUCCCGGGGCUCAACCUCGGAACUGCCUUUGAUACUGUAGAUCUCGAGUCCGGAAGAGGUGAGUGGAAUUCCUAGUGUAGAGGUGAAAUUCGUAGAUAUUAGGAAGAACACCAGUGGCGAAGGCGGCUCACUGGUCCGGUACUGACGCUGAGGUGCGAAAGCGUGGGGAGCAAACGGGAUUAGAUACCCCCGUAGUCCCUGAGCGGGCUGGCAAGGCGCAU